This 392-nucleotide ribosomal RNA is filed under the name uncultured soil bacterium. RNAcentral describes it as "bacterial SSU rRNA". It matches the Rfam family "Bacterial small subunit ribosomal RNA", at positions 26 to 416 of the family's 1533-position model. The record is from RNAcentral.
AGAUUGAACGCUGGCGGCGUGCUUAACACAUGCAAGUCGUGCGGUAACAGGCGUAGCAAUACGUGCUGACGAGCGGCGAACGGGUGCGUAAUACAUGGGAAUCUGCCUUUUAGUGGGGGAAUAACCCGGCGAAAGCCGGGCUAAUGCCGCAUAAGAUCUUCGGAUGAAAGCGGGGGAUCGUAAGACCUCGCGCUGAUAGAUGAGCCCAUGCCGGAUUAGCUAGUUGGUGAGGUAACGGCUCACCAAGGCGACGAUCCGUAGCUGGUCUGAGAGGACGGCCAGCCACACUGGGACUGAGACACGGCCCAGACUCCUACGGGAGGCAGCAGUGGGGAAUAUUGGACAAGUGGGGGAAACCCUGAUCCAGCGACGCCGCGUGUGUGAAGAAGGCC